GAUGAACGCUGGCGGCGUGCCUAAUACAUGCAAGUCGAGCGAACAGAUAAGGAGCUUGCUCCUUUGACGUUAGCGGCGGACGGGUGAGUAACACGUGGAUAACCUACCUAUAAGACUGGGAUAACUUCGGGAAACCGGAGCUAAUACCGGAUAACAUAUUGAACCGCAUGGUUCAAUAGUGAAAGGCGGCUUUGCUGUCACUUAUAGAUGGAUCCGCGCCGUAUUAGCUAGUUGGUAAGGUAACGGCUUACCAAGGCAACGAUACGUAGCCGACCUGAGAGGGGGAUCGGCCCCACUGGGACUGUGACACGGGCCCGACUCCUACGGGAGGCAGCAGUAGGGAAAAUUCCCCAAUGGGGGAAAGCCCGAGGGAGCAAAGCCGCGGGAGUGAUGAAGGGGUUCGGAUCUUAAAAAUCUGUUUUAAGGGAAAAAAAAAAGUGUAAGGAAAACUGCACAUCUUGACGGGGCCUAAUCAGAAAGACCCGGCUCACUACGUG
RNAcentral lists this ribosomal RNA (497 nucleotides) under uncultured bacterium. RNAcentral's name for it is "partial 16S ribosomal RNA". It matches the Rfam family "Bacterial small subunit ribosomal RNA", at positions 28 to 507 of the family's 1533-position model. The record is from RNAcentral.